UUUCCGUAGGUGAACCUGCGGAAGGAUCAUUAUUAUAUAACCAAGGUUCGAGGGCUUUCGCUUUUCCUAAAUGUUCUGCACGCCCGAGUGCCCUCACCCACAUCCAUCUCCCCCCUAUGUGCACCACCGCGACGGUCCCCCUCUCUCUUUUUCGGGGGUGGGCCUACGUUUUCACACACACUUGAUAUGCAGUGUAGACUUUAUUUUUUGAUUUUGCGAGUACCCCAUCAAUACAACUUUCAACAACGGAUCUCUUGUACCUCGCAUCCAUGAAAAACC
This 279-nucleotide unclassified non-coding RNA is filed under the name plant metagenome. RNAcentral's name for it is "partial contains small subunit ribosomal RNA, internal transcribed spacer 1, and 5.8S ribosomal RNA". The record is from RNAcentral.